Molecule: ribosomal RNA, 551 nt
Filed under: uncultured bacterium
Lineage: Bacteria
Description: bacterial SSU rRNA
Rfam family: Bacterial small subunit ribosomal RNA
Source: RNAcentral
UAGGGAAUCUUCGGCAAUGGACGGAAGUCUGACCGAGCAACGCCGCGUGAGUGAAGAAGGUCUUCGGAUCGUAAAGCUCUGUUGUAAGAGAAGAACGAGUGUGAGAGUGGAAAGUUCACACUGUGACGGUAUCUUACCAGAAAGGGACGGCUAACUACGUGCCAGCAGCCGCGGUAAUACGUAGGUCCCGAGCGUUGUCCGGAUUUAUUGGGCGUAAAGCGAGCGCAGGCGGUUAGAUAAGUCUGAAGUUAAAGGCUGUGGCUUAACCAUAGUACGCUUUGGAAACUGUUUAACUUGAGUGCAAGAGGGGAGAGUGGAAUUCCAUGUGUAGCGGUGAAAUGCGUAGAUAUAUGGAGGAACACCGGUGGCGAAAGCGGCUCUCUGGCUUGUAACUGACGCUGAGGCUCGAAAGCGUGGGGAGCAAACAGGAUUAGAUACCCUGGUAGUCCACGCCGUAAACGAUGAGUGCUAGGUGUUAGACCCUUUCCGGGGUUUAGUGCCGCAGCUAACGCAUUAAGCACUCCGCCUGGGGAGUACGACCGCAGAGGUUG